CCGACCUUAGCUCAGUUGGUAGAGCGGAAGACUGUAAAUCUUUAGGUCGCUGGUUCGAUUCCGGCAGGUCGGA
This 73-nucleotide transfer RNA is filed under the name Arabidopsis thaliana (thale cress). Its description in RNAcentral is "tRNA-Tyr (GTA) (tRNA-Tyr-GTA-1-1)". It matches the Rfam family "tRNA". Rfam says of the family: Transfer RNA (tRNA) molecules are approximately 80 nucleotides in length. Their secondary structure includes four short double-helical elements and three loops (D, anti-codon, and T loops). Lineage: Eukaryota; Viridiplantae; Streptophyta; Magnoliopsida; Brassicales; Brassicaceae. The record is from RNAcentral.